This is a long non-coding RNA of Rhinolophus ferrumequinum (greater horseshoe bat), 1638 nucleotides long. RefSeq lists it as uncharacterized. Lineage: Eukaryota; Metazoa; Chordata; Mammalia; Chiroptera; Rhinolophidae. The record is from RefSeq and is a predicted model, not a curated record. The transcript is spliced from 3 exons.
GGCUCCCGAGAGUUGUAGUUUGCGUCUGGUCCGCAAAGACGGACUUUCUUGCGGCAGCCGACGGGCUGUUCGGUUGUGAUUGUUGGUGUUCUUUUGUGGAGGCGGGUCGGUUCGCUGGCGCAUCCAUCCGUGGGUUUGUCUGUCGGUCAGCUCCGCGGUUUCUCAGCUGCGCUCCGCGCCUACUGACUUUCUUUCUGGAGAAGAGGAUGUGGCCGAGCCUCAGGUGACGCUGUGGACUUUGCUUUCUAUGCAGGUUUCCUUUCCAGACCAGCUCUUGUGCAUUCUUUCAGCAACGAUCUGUACAUACACGGCCACGUGAACUUAUAUCCUUUAUCCAAUUCUUUUUCACCCAGUUGAUGAAAUGCUCACACACUUCACUGUUUUUAUUUAUUGUGAUAAAAUACAUAUAACAAAAUUUGCCAUUUUAACCAUUUUUAGUGUAUAAUCACAAUAUUGUGCAACCAUCACAAUAUCUAUACCUAGUUAUCAUGACCCCAAACAGAAACUGUACAAAUUAAAUUGUUUGUUAUUAACAUAUGAUACAUGUUGCAGCAUAUAUCAAAACUUUAUUUCUUUUUGUGGUGGAAUAAUAUUCCAUUGUAUGCAUAGGUCACAUUUAAUUUAUCCAUUCACCUUGGUUUGUUUCUACUUUUUAGCUGUUGUGAAUAGUGCUGUUAUGGACAUUAGAGUACGAGUAUCUGUUUGAGUCCCUGUUUCCAUUAUUUUGUAUGAAUACUCAUAUAUCUAAGAGUGGGAUUGCUGGGUUAUAUGGUAAUUCUAUCUUAACCUUUUUGGGGAAUUGCCAAACUGUUUUCCACAGUGACUGUACCAUUUUACAUUCCUACCAGCAAUGCACAAGGGUCACAAUUACUCCACAUCCUCACCGACACUUUCAUUUUUUUUAUUACAGCCAUCCUGGUAGGUAUGCAGCGGUAUUUCUUUAUGGUUUUGAUUUGCAUUUCCCUAAUAACAAAUUAUGUUGAGUAUCUUUUCACGUAUUUGUAUAUAAUCUUUGGAGAAAUGUCUAUUCAAGUCCUUUGCCCAUUUUUAAAUUUUGCAUGUGUGUGUAUGGUGGUUGUUGGGUUAUAGGAGUUCCUCAUAUAUUCUGAAUAUUAAACACUUAUUAGAUAUAUGAUUUGCAAAUAUUUUCUCCCAUUGUGGGGAUUUUCUUUUCACUCUACUUAUAGUGUCCUUUGAUGCACAAAAUGUUUAAGUUUUAAUGAAGUCCAAUUCAUUUAUUUUCUAAUUGUGUUGCCUCUGCUUUGGGUGUUAUAUUUAAGACACCAUUGCCAAAUCCAAUGUCACGAAGACUUGCCUUUACAUUUUCUUCUGAGUUUUAUAUUUUCAGCUCUUAAAUUUAUAUCUUUCAACCACUUUGUGUUAAGUUUUGUAUGUGGUAUAAGGUGAGGAUACAACUUUAAUCUUUUGCAUAUGAAUAUCCAGUUUUCCUGCACCAUGUUGAAAAGACUGCUUUUUCCCCACUGAAUGUUGGUGCCCUUUUCAAAAAUCAAUUGCCAAUCGAGGGGAGGGUUUAUUUCUGGGCUCUCAAAUGUAUCCUAUUCGUCAAUAUAUCUAUCUUUAUGCCAUUAACACACUGUUUUGAUCAUUGUAGCUCUGUAGUAAGUUGUGAAAUCUAGA